UCCGGGCGACCACGGGCGCUUGCACGGCGCGGCGCGGCACGGCUUUCGCUCCCAAACUCCCCUUCCGCAACCUCUGGCAGGGCACCCGAUCCCAGUCCCUGCAAUCGGUCGGCGAGCCGCUUGCUCUGCUGCAGCGCGCCCCAAUCUUUUUUUUGCCCAGCUCGGAUUCCUAGGCGGAUGCCGAGAUGGAGGCGAAGGAGACGCUGCAGCGCGCGCCCAAGGUCAGGUACUCAGGUAUGCCAUGUGGUUGCUUCCUUCCCUGUGUAGCAUCAGACUCUGCAUAUCGCGUAUUUAUCCUGUGAUAGUGGAGGAAUUUCGAAAAUGCUCGGAGGUUUUGGUAGAAGGGAACCAGUAACUUAAUCUAAUUCCACAGCCUUGAGAGAGGUUGCAGAAUAAAGGCCUAAUUCUUUAGCAGCAAUCUUAAGCAGACCACUUGUUUUAGGAAUGGUUUGGAACUUAAUGUACGGAAACCAAUUACUCCUAGUAGAUCACCGAGUACGCAUAUGGAAAAGGAUGCUUCAUGACUGAAAACUACUACUCGUACUCCGUACUUCUUCCGUUUCAUAAUUCUUGUCUCAAAUUUGCCCAAAAAUGGAUGUAUCUAUUCCUAACAAAUAUCUAGAUACAUGUAAUAUUUUGACAAGAAUUAUGGAACGAAGGGAAUACUAAACAAGCAAGAUUACAAACUGACAAGAAAAAUGACUAAAGUUGCAGUUUACAAACACGCAGUGACGACUCAGAUAAGCAAAUUACCGAACUCUGUCUAAGCAGAUGCAAAAAUAACUCGGUAUGCAUUUUCCUUUCACCGUCCAGAAACAAGGCUUGUUUCUGACAUCCCACCGGUAAAAUCAGAAUGGAAGGAGCUCCCCUCAUUCCUUUCUCCAGAAACCGUCCACUGGAGCCUUGGAAUUUCAAUAUCCAUGUAGUUUCUGCGUUGAGGGGUUGCAGAAGCAGACUGCUUUUCCCUUGAAACCGCUGGCAACCACACUUUGAGCCUUGAAACAACCUCGGUCAUGGUCGGCCUGUCAAUGGCCGCAUUUUCUACGCAGUUCAUGGCAAGGUCUAUGACACAAUGCAGGGAGCUUGCGUCGUACUGAUCCAUCAGCCUCUUGUCCACAACAUCAUGAACACUACCCGUAACAAUCUUUUGGCGCACCCAAUUUGGUAGGUGGACAGUUUGAGGGUCCAUCAGUACCGGGGAAUGGCCAGUGAUGAUCUCCAAUAGCACAAUGCCGAAGCUGUAAACAUCUGUCUUGACAGUGAGUUGGAAAGUUGCAUGGUACUCAGGAUCGAGGUAGCCAAGAGUGCCAGCAGCAACAGUAGAUAUGUGUGUAUGUGCUUCGUUAAAAGCCCGUGAAAGCCCAAAAUCAGAUAUUAUCCCCACCAGAUUCUUGUCCAGAAGGAUGUUAGCAGUCUUCACAUCUCUGUGAACUAUGGAUGGUGUGCACAACUCAUGUAGAUACUCCAGUCCUGUAAUUUAUAGAAACUCAUACUUUGCCAGCACACACAUACAUACAUGAAUUAAAGUUAAAUACGUUAUUGAAAUGUGGACCUUGUGCAGAAUCAAGUGCAAUAUGAAGUCGUUGUUCCCAACUCAAACUGUAGUCACCUCCUGCACCAAAACGUCCCAAAAAAUGUUGUGAGUGCCAUAUGAUAAUCACAUGCUCAUUUUAGCAUAAAUUCCCAUUUUUGUAAGUUGUGACAUAUGUAAGCCAACAAAUGAUGGUUAUGCACGCCAUGACUAAGCAUAUCAAUUGGUGCAUUAAGAUUUAAACCUUCUUAGAGAGGUCUAUGCUUUUCCUUCUCAUCAUCAGAGCAUUUUUUAUACACAAAUCAAGUUAACCAGACAACCAAGCCAUUGGAUUUUAAUAAGUUCCUCUAUAGUUGCUUUGUUUCUUACUGGCUUUGAAAGUUACAUGCUUAGAAUUUCUGACUAUCUUGUCAUGGUGACGUCUCAAAGAGUGUAACAGUAGUCCCUCCAAUUUGUUAUCCAAGUGUCUAUGACAAUUGCAAAAUUAUGGCUUAAGAAUGUGCAGCUCCAAGAAUACAGCUAUGGUGGCCUCACUUGUUAAUCAAAUUUCGAAUGCCGAUACAGGUUACAUAGUAAAUUAGAUCCACCAUCUCAGCUGUAUUAACUAGCAGCAGUGAUAACAGUCUAGGCAAUCAACUACACCUUUAACAAGGAAAUCCAGUUUUAACAAGAAAUCAUGUUUACAGUAGAAUGUCAAAGCCGGAGUAGUUUGACUUCAGAGUUUCUUUCUAUACUUGGGACUAGGUCCUUUCAAUUUUGUAUUAUUCUGAGAAACACAAUCCGAUGUUAACAUUUGGGAAGUAGGUGGCCCACAAGUGGUUACUGAAAGCUGUUGGCCUCUGGGUCUUUGAUUCUUUGCGUUGUUGACUUGUUGUUGGUUUCGAAGCAAGUAAAACCUGAAUUGGUCAACUUCCCUUUUAGAUCGAGCUGAUUGCAGGUUUCAUUUAAUGAUUCAAUUUUGUUCAGUUAAAUUACAAUGGUCUGUAAACAUGGGAUCACAAUUCAGUGAUCAUAAAAAACUCCAAGUUGGAUUGGUUAUACCUAAGCCAACUACGCUUGAUAGAAUUUUUAAGAUAAGUUAAGAGAAAAACCUUCUCUCAGAAGCUGCUGAAGAUUUCCUCUGGGCAUGAAGUCAUAAACAAGUGCUAGGCACUUCUUGUUUUGGCAAUAUCCUUCCAAAGUCACAAGAUUCUUGUGAUGAACUUUUGACAAGGUUUGCACCUGCAGCAACAGUUAUGGUUACCAAACAUCCUAGAGAUGAAGCCAACUGCAUUUUUUUUAAUAUGGACUGCGGAAAGGGUUUAUGAUGUCUUGCAGACAUAUAGUUUACUUUUUUAUUGAAGAAAGCAAUGAUUUGGCCUAGUUGGUUUUGUGGUAUACCUCAGGGAGGAAGUCUGUCGACUCUGCUAUUGAUGUCUCCAUAAGCACCUUAACAGCUACUUCAUCACCAUUUCCCAGUAUGCCAUGAUAAACAGUUCCGAAACCUCCUUUUCCAAUGAUUGAUUGGAAGUCUUUUGUUAUGAGCUUCAGCUCUGCGUACGUGAACCGUCUAAUGUCAAUAUGUAGCGGAGUUUCCUCUUCACACAUAGCAUAAUCUUCAUGGUCUCCUGACUUCCCUGCAGAGUCAAGAAGUUGUGUUUUACUUGAAAGCAAAGGUAUGAAACUGCUGUGUAAUGUCUACCACCCAAUACAUCGAGAAAAGAGAAUUUUAGAACGGAGAAUUUUGUUUUACCUUUCCAGCACAACUUCCAGAGUAUGCAGAUCACUACUAAGAGGGAUACCAGUCCGACAGGAACUAUCACUGUGAUGAGCAAGGUUUGUGUGGUGCUCUUCUUCUUAUUUGAACAGUAUGUAGCUUUGACUUUUGAGCAUAUGGGAUUGCCUUCUAAUCUAGUAGCACAAUUACAUGGAAAAAGUGAGCUCAAAAGGUCUUAGCUACAACAACUCUAUAAAAUUAUGGCUACAACGUGCCUCCAUUUUCUAACACAAUUAACCUGCUAAAAUUGCUUCACUGCUUCUAAACGUCUAUGCACUCUAAAAGAACAAACCGCAUGGUUUCUGAAUCACGUUCAGUUACUAAUAGGUCCUUAUCUACCUCUCAUGUUGAAAGGCCAUAGAUUAUAAAGAAUUUAAGUUACUAGAUGGUAGUACAUUAAUUGAGGCUUGUUUGGAUUAACAAUUUAACAUGAUGCACUAACAUGGCUCGACACUUUUGGUGGCUCCCAAAUUAGCCACCACAACUUCGUCAAAUUUGGCAAGGGUUUAUUAUGUACAAGGGACACUGCUCUGCAUGGUACUAGAAAAAUAUGGUGCAGCACAAGCAUGGCACUAACCAAACAGUGGCCAGAGAAAGUCAAACUUGCGCAACUCCAGUUUGACAAGUGUGGCUAGGAACUAAAUGCUUUUUAACCAUUGCAUUUGCAUUAUACGUGCAAGACUGUUGGUAAACCUUGGAAUGUUUCUAUGAUAAGUCGAUAACCAACCUUGGGUAGAGCCUAUUACUUUUUGGUGUACUUUGUUUAGUUUGUUAUAUACUUAUAUUUUUCUAUAUUCUACGAAGGAAUUGUGCAACGGGGCAUGCCAAACCUUAAGUCAAGCUGAUCAGCCUGGAAUCUUUGAAGAAUAGAAUUAGGGAUUGGUCCAUCGAGCUGAUUAUUUGACAAGUCACUGAAAAUAGUAGUUAAAUCAUUCACUAAUUUAUAUCAUCAACCAAAGAUUUAAUCAGUACGUCAACUUACAGAACUUCGAGUGACUUUAGUGGAUAGUCUGGAAUAGGUCCCAUCAAAUUGUUGUGUGAUAAAUUCCUACAUAUGUUUUGUGCUUAAGGUCACAAAAGAUGUCAACAUAAUCUCGUUUAGCACAUCGAUGUUAUGUGGUAGCCGGUAGGCACUACUUACAAGUUUUCCAGUGAUACCAUGCCCAGGAAUGACAUGGCUAAUUCACCUUCCAGUCCGCUGUUAGACAGACUCUGCAAAAGAACUCAUUUUUAGUACAAUUCAUAUUAAUUUACUGAUAGCAUUAAACUAACAUGUAGUUUGAAUAUUAUGUUAAUAUAUUCUUGUACUUCUGUUUUACACUGAAACGUUACCUGUAUUUUCAAGAUUUCAACUAGAUUGUGUGUUUUCAAGAUCUUAGCCAGUAAGACAAGUGACUGAAUGGUCAUCCAUGUAUAAAAAGAAAGAACAGAAAUCUUGAGCAUCAUGUAAACCAAAUGGGAAAUUUUUUGGAGCGUUAAACUGCUUGGGGAUGAAUUGCACUUCAAAGGAUAAAAAGAUUGAACCGCGAUGUUGAAAAUUCAAAAUAUAUAUGGUACAAGUCCUGUAAAUAUACUUACACACUGACAAUCCUCGGGUUCUGGUUGCUUUUGGAGUAGUUGCAAGUCAAUCCUUCCCAGGAAUACUCUCUUGGGGAGCAUGGGUCUCCAUUCCAGUUUAUGCGUGACAAAUUGUAGCUUCUUGAUUUCUUUCAUGUAAUUGACUACAACAGAAUAAAGACAACAUAAACAAAUAUUAAGAAAAGAACAUAAACAAAUAUUAACAUAAUAAAGAAAGCUGUUUAUGUGGCUAUGGGGCCUUAUUAUUAGUAAAUAGAAAGAUCAAAGCAAACUUAAGAAGUUGCAAAAUUAUUUUAUGCUAGUUUUAUCUUUUGAUAGAACUGAAUAAAUUUUAUUAAUUCAUUUCUCUACUAUGUUCUUGGCCGUCGCUCAUUGGCAAUUAAAGGUUUGAAGACGGCCUAGUAAGGAGUUUAGUGUGCAACUGGAUCAAUCUGUUGAUAAAUUUGUUUCUCCUGCUUCAAUGGAAGAUCCUUGCAGUGAGACCUCAGUCAUCAACAGCCUUUCAGUUCAAACAACUGAAUAAACUACAUGACGAUCAUGGGCGCCUGUCACAUAAAUGACAAAUGUGUGAUGCAGGUGCAGUAUAUAUAUUGAUCUUACCAUCAUCAGAGUCAGUGGUGAGGUUAUCCAUCCGAACGAGCGAGUACAGCUCAAAAGCGUUGAUGAGUGGUGGGAGGCUUGACUUGUUUGUCUUCUUCAGGAGGAAGGAUCCCUCGGGGUUGUGCAAGAGCCGCCCAUUCUCAUGCAUGCUGCGCAAUUCGAAUCGCGGUGGGGAGUAGUC
This 5646-nucleotide long non-coding RNA is filed under the name Brachypodium distachyon (stiff brome). RNAcentral's name for it is "long non-coding RNA (BDIS_LNC002667)". The record is from RNAcentral. Lineage: Eukaryota; Viridiplantae; Streptophyta; Magnoliopsida; Poales; Poaceae.